AGUGAACGCUGGCGGUAGGCCUAACACAUGCAAGUCGAACGGCAGCACAGUAAGAGCUUGCUCUUACGGGUGGCGAGUGGCGGACGGGUGAGGAAUACAUCGGAAUCUACUUUUUCGUGGGGGAUAACGUAGGGAUACUUACGCUAAUACCGCAUACGACCUACGGGUGAAAGCAGGGGAUCUUCGGACCUUGCGCGAUUGAAUGAGCCGAUGUCGGAUUAGCUAGUUGGCGGGGUAAAGGCCCACCAAGGCGACGAUCCGUAGCUGGUCUGAGAGGAUGAUCAGCCACACUGGAACUGAGACACGGUCCAGACUCCUACGGAAGGCAGCAGUGGGGAAUAUUGGACAAUGGGCGCAAGCCUGAUCCAGCCAUACCGCGUGGGUGAAGAAGGCCUUCGGGUUGUAAAGCCCUUUUGUUGGGAAAGAAAAGCAGCAGGUUAAUACCCCGCUGUUCUGACGGUACCCAAAGAAUAAGCACCGGCUAACUUCGUG
This 492-nucleotide ribosomal RNA is filed under the name uncultured bacterium. Its description in RNAcentral is "partial 16S ribosomal RNA". It matches the Rfam family "Bacterial small subunit ribosomal RNA", at positions 29 to 507 of the family's 1533-position model. The record is from RNAcentral.